UACCUACGGGACGCAGCAGUGGGGAAUAUUGCACAAUGGGGGAAACCCUGAUGCAGCGACGCCGCGUGAGUGAAGAAGUAUUUCGGUAUGUAAAGCUCUAUCCGCAGGGAAGAAAAUGACGGUACCUGAUUAAGAAGCCCCGGCUAACUACGUGCCAGCAGCCGCGGUAAUACGUAGGGGGCAAGCGUUAUCCGGAUUUACUGGGUGUAAAGGGUGCGCAGGCGGAAUGUCAAGUCAGCGGUAAAAUUUCGGGGCUCAACACCGU
This 265-nucleotide ribosomal RNA is filed under the name uncultured bacterium. Its description in RNAcentral is "partial 16S ribosomal RNA". It matches the Rfam family "Bacterial small subunit ribosomal RNA", at positions 335 to 618 of the family's 1533-position model. The record is from RNAcentral.